CUACGGGGUGCGCCAGUGAGGAAUAUUGCACAAUGGGGGGAACCCUGAUGCAGCAACGCCGCGUGGAGGAUGACGCAUUUCGGUGUGUAAACUCCUUUUAUAUGUCAAGAAAAUGACGGUAGCAUAUGAAUAAGCACCGGCUAACUCCGUGCCAGCAGCCGCGGUAAUACGGAGGGUGCAAGCGUUACUCGGAAUCACUGGGCGUAAAGGACGCGUAGGCGGGUUGGAAAGUCAGGUGUGAAAUCCUACAGCUUAACUGUAGAACUGCACUUGAAACUUAUAAUCUAGAGUAUGGGAGGGGGAGAUGGAAUUAGUGGUGUAGGGGUAAAAUCCGUAGAUAUCACUAGGAAUACCUAAAGCGAAGGCGAUCUCCUGGAACAUUACUGACGCUAAGGCGUGAAAGCGUGGGGAGCAAACAGGAUUAGAUACCCUCGUAGUC
Molecule: ribosomal RNA, 439 nt
Filed under: uncultured bacterium
Lineage: Bacteria
Description: partial 16S ribosomal RNA
Rfam family: Bacterial small subunit ribosomal RNA
Source: RNAcentral